Long non-coding RNA from Amblyraja radiata (thorny skate), 401 nucleotides. RefSeq lists it as uncharacterized. The transcript has 2 exons. NCBI's taxonomy places the organism in Eukaryota, Metazoa, Chordata, Chondrichthyes, Rajiformes, Rajidae. The record is from RefSeq and is a predicted model, not a curated record.
AUUUACAUAAGCUGCAGAUUCAUUGUUACCAACAGUAACAGUGAGUAGCAGAAGGAAACAAGAGGCGCAACAAGAAAUAACUGAACAUGUCAAGGAUCAACGAGAAAGAACACAAAACAUAGGGGAGCAAGAGACACAACAAGAAAGAACUGAACGUUGACGAUCAACGACAAAGAAAGCAGAACAUCAACUGGCAGAGGAGGGAGCAAACGAGUUGCAGCAUGGUCAAGGAAAGAUGCAAAGAGACAUCAAGAAGAAAUGAAGAGCAGAAGGGAACAAGAGACGCAACAAGAAUUAACAGAACAUGUCGAGGAACAACGAGAAAGAACACAAAACAGAGGGGAGCAAGAGACGCAACAAGAAAGAACUGAACUGAAUAAAUCUCAUUGUUAACGUUUAAA